Long non-coding RNA from Gadus morhua (Atlantic cod), 416 nucleotides. NCBI's taxonomy places the organism in Eukaryota, Metazoa, Chordata, Actinopteri, Gadiformes, Gadidae. The record is from Ensembl.
AAACAGUAGUUACACACACACACUCACUCGCGCACACAGUAAGAUGAAUUGAAUGAAUACUUCUUUCGUUUUGAAGUAUGAAUCUAAAUCAGUCAAAUCAGACUCAUCCCUUUAAUUAAAAUGAGGGAGGUCAUUUAAGAUCAAACACAGAGCUGAAAUAGCCUCUCACUGUUACCAAGGCGGCCAGAGGGCGUCGAAACUGCGUUGAGUUUUACUAAUUAGCUCCCCUGCCAGGUUAAAGACUUUUUGAAGUAAAAAGGAGCAUCUCAUCUGAACCUGAUGACUAUCAUGGAUAUUUAACUGCAGUUCUGUGAGUAUCCCAACUUUACCAUGAAGAGGAACUGCAAACUGUAAGUCAUACGUUUCUCAUUACUCUUGGGCACAUUGAUGUAUUUUGGCUUCCUGGUGAGUUAACC